Molecule: unclassified non-coding RNA, 231 nt
Filed under: uncultured Geminibasidium
Lineage: Eukaryota; Fungi; Basidiomycota; Geminibasidiomycetes; Geminibasidiales; Geminibasidiaceae
Description: sequence contains ITS2
Source: RNAcentral
ACACCUUCAACCCUCCAAUGUUUUUUCGCGUUGAAGGCGUUGGUAGUGAGCGCUGCCGGACUCUUUGGAUCGGCUCGCUUUAAAAUCAUCAGCUGGAUCCAUUCUGACCUGGUUCUACUCGGCGUAAUAAGUUAUUAUCGUCGAGGACGCCUGGCCUUCUAGGCGGGCGGCCACAGUAAGGGUGUUUGAGCCGCUUCCAACACGUCUUGCUCUCGUAGCAAACACUUGAAC